UGAUUGAGAGUUUUUAUCCAUGGCAUUAUCUUUUAUUGAUCAUAGACAUAAGAAUGUAUACUUGGUAUGCCUUUGAAUAUAUGCACUAUGAAUACCAAGAUUAAAGAAACCACUUUUGGCAUAUAAAAUCAACUCAUGCUAGUAUGUACUUAAUCUCAAAAGACUUUGUCAUUGGCUUACUUAGAUUAAUUUCUGUAAGGUCAAAGUUUGCUAUGCACGUCAUCUAGGAAAACAAACUAGAAUCAUUUCUAAAUCUGAAAACAUUGUUUCCACCUCUUAGUCUUUGAA
Molecule: long non-coding RNA, 288 nt
Filed under: Phoenix dactylifera (date palm)
Lineage: Eukaryota; Viridiplantae; Streptophyta; Magnoliopsida; Arecales; Arecaceae
Description: long non-coding RNA (PDAC_LNC001595)
Source: RNAcentral